AGAGUUUGAUCCUGGCUCAGGAUGAACGCUAGCGGCAGGCUUAACACAUGCAAGUCGAGGGGCAGCAUAGAGGUUAGCAAUAACUUCUGAUGGCGACCGGCGCAAGGGUGCGUAACGCGUGAGCAACUUGCCCUUAUCAGGGGGAUAACCAAUGGAAACGUUGACUAAUACCCCAUAGUAUAACAUUAAGGCAUCUUUUUGUUAUUAAAGAAUUUCGGAUAAGGAUAGGCUCGCGUGACAUUAGCUAGAUGGCGGGGUAACGGCCCACCAUGGCGACGAUGUCUAGGGGUUCUGAGAGGAAGGUCCCCCACACUGGAACUGAGACACGGUCCGGACUCCUACGGGAGGCAGCAGUGAGGAAUAUUGGUCAAUGGUCUGACGACUGAACCAGCCAUGCCGCGUGAAGGUCACGGCCCUAUGGGUCUUAAACUUCUUUUGUAAGGGAGCAAUAAGGCGCACGUGUGCGUCGAUGAGAGUACCUUACGAAUAAGCAUCGGCUAACUCCGUGCCAGCAGCCGCGGU
RNAcentral lists this ribosomal RNA (522 nucleotides) under uncultured bacterium. RNAcentral's name for it is "bacterial SSU rRNA". It matches the Rfam family "Bacterial small subunit ribosomal RNA", at positions 8 to 521 of the family's 1533-position model. The record is from RNAcentral.